Triticum urartu is the source of this 135-nucleotide non-coding RNA. NCBI's taxonomy places the organism in Eukaryota, Viridiplantae, Streptophyta, Magnoliopsida, Poales, Poaceae. The record is from Rfam.
CAACUACUCCCUCUGUCCCAAAUUUCUUGUCUUAGAUUUGUCUAGAGACGGUUGUAUCUAAUACUAAAAUGUGACUUGAUACAUCCGUAUCUAGACAAAUCUAAGACAAGAAUUUUGGGACGGAGGGAGUACUUU